CGGGGUGUAGCGCAGUCUGGCUAGCGCGCAUGGUUUGGGACCAUGAGGCCGUGGGUUCGAAUCCCACCACCCCGACCA
This 78-nucleotide transfer RNA is filed under the name Chloroflexota bacterium. Its description in RNAcentral is "Chloroflexi bacterium (permafrost metagenome) tRNA-Pro". It matches the Rfam family "tRNA". From Rfam's summary of the family: Transfer RNA (tRNA) molecules are approximately 80 nucleotides in length. Their secondary structure includes four short double-helical elements and three loops (D, anti-codon, and T loops). The record is from RNAcentral. Lineage: Bacteria; Bacillati; Chloroflexota.